CGGGUGAGUAAUGCGUGACCAACCUGCCCCAUGCUCCAGAAUAGCUCUUGGAAACGGGUGGUAAUGCUGGAUGCUCCAACUUGACGCAUGUCUUGUUGGGAAAGUGUUUAGUGGCAUGGGAUGGGGUCGCGUCCUAUCAGCUUGUAGGCGGGGUAAUGGCCCACCUAGGCUUCGACGGGUAGCCGGCCUGAGAUGGCGGACGGUCACAUUGGGACUGAGAUACGGCCCAGACUCCUACGGGAGGCAGCAGUC
This 252-nucleotide ribosomal RNA is filed under the name uncultured Gardnerella sp. RNAcentral describes it as "partial 16S ribosomal RNA". It matches the Rfam family "Bacterial small subunit ribosomal RNA", at positions 103 to 355 of the family's 1533-position model. Lineage: Bacteria; Bacillati; Actinomycetota; Actinomycetes; Bifidobacteriales; Bifidobacteriaceae. The record is from RNAcentral.